UACGAAGGGGGCUAGCGUUGCUCGGAAUCACUGGGCGUAAAGCGCACGUAGGCGGUUCUUUAAGACAGAGGUGAAAUCCCAAGGCUCAACCUUGGAACUGCCUUUGAUACUGGGGAUCUCGAGUCCGGAAGAGGUGAGUGGAACUGCGAGUGUAGAGGUGAAAUUCGUAGAUAUUCGCAAGAACACCAGUGGCGAAGGCGGCUCACUGGUCCGGUACUGACGCUGAGGUGCGAAAGCGUGGGGAGCAAACAGG
Molecule: ribosomal RNA, 253 nt
Filed under: uncultured bacterium
Lineage: Bacteria
Description: partial 16S ribosomal RNA
Rfam family: Bacterial small subunit ribosomal RNA
Source: RNAcentral